Molecule: ribosomal RNA, 253 nt
Filed under: uncultured bacterium
Lineage: Bacteria
Description: partial 16S ribosomal RNA
Rfam family: Bacterial small subunit ribosomal RNA
Source: RNAcentral
UACGAAGGGGGCUAGCGUUGCUCGGAAUCACUGGGCGUAAAGCGCACGUAGGCGGCUCUUUAAGUCAGGGGUGAAAUCCCGGAGCUCAACUCCGGAACUGCCUUUGAUACUGGGGAUCUUGAGUCCGGAAGAGGUGAGUGGAACUGCGAGUGUAGAGGUGAAAUUCGUAGAUAUUCGCAAGAACACCAGUGGCGAAGGCGGCUCACUGGUCCGGUACUGACGCUGAGGUGCGAAAGCGUGGGGAGCAAACAGG